This 18595-nucleotide long non-coding RNA is filed under the name Gossypium raimondii (Peruvian cotton). RNAcentral's name for it is "long non-coding RNA (GRAI_LNC003398)". The record is from RNAcentral. Lineage: Eukaryota; Viridiplantae; Streptophyta; Magnoliopsida; Malvales; Malvaceae.
GUUGAAAAUGAUAAAACCAUAAGAUAAAAGAGCUUUUAUUCAAAAUGCAAAAAUCAACAAAAUAUUCAUUAUCACUCAACUUAGCAUAAUUAAACAUUUAGGUGAGGAAACAAAUCACAAUUUGAGUAGCUAAACACAUUGCUUGAAAAUGUGAUAAGUAAGAAAAUUGCCCACAUUUGAGUAGCGACAUGUGGUGAUGCAUUUCCCAACGAGAGAAAACUAAGCUCUUCACCAGUAUGGAUUUAUGUAGAGGACAACAAAAAUUGUCAACAACACAACUACAUAAGAAACCAAAAAGCUCACAAAAAAAUCAUAAGUACCUAUCAAACCAUCUUCUCCUUUAUCUUCUGAUACAGUUGAUAUCGUUGAUGGUGAAUCAGUUUUGGAACAACUUUUAUGCAAUAUAUCUCCACAAAGAAAAGGAUUUCCCUCAUAACUGUUUUCAAUAAAGGUCCCAAAUUGAGCUUUUGGUUUGGGAAUACUACCUGACAAGUUGUUGUAUGCCACGCUGAAAACCUCCAAAGAGUUCAACUCUACCAAUUGAUAGGGGAUUUCACCACUCAAGUUGUUGUAAGAAAGGUCCAAACUCUCAAUGUGCUGAAGUUUUGAGAAUGAUGAGGGUAUAACUCCGGUCAACUUAUUGUGUGACAAGUUUAAAGAAUGGAUUUCACUCAAGUUCCCUAAUUCUGGUGGGAUAUGACUAGUUAAGUUGUUGCAAGAUAAAUCAAUCCCAGUCAUAUAUGAAAGGAUGUCGCCAUUGUACGAAUAGAACCCACUCUUUGUUGUGAACUCUAUUACUUCUUCUAAGUAGCUUAGAGGAUAGUAAGAAUCCAUUUCCAGGUUUCCUAUCAUAAUGCGUGUUGAUUCAUCCUCUUCUAUAGAUGGCCCAUAGAACCCAGUUUCUAGAAUCCUCUUCAUUUGUAUUGGAAGAGAUAAAUUUCCCAAACAAGAAGGUAUAGGACCAGAAAACAUAUUUUGAGAAAGAUCUAUGAUGCUUAAAGAAUGCAACUUGCAUAACUCAAUAGGAACUUUACCAUGAAAAUGAUUAUCUUUCAGGAGAAGAACACUCAAAGAAGAAAGCGUGUAAAUCCAUUUUGGAAUACUACCUGUCAAAUUGUUUCCUCUAAGAUCUAAAGUCACUAUUGAAGAGUUAUUAUAAAAAGCAAGUGAUAGUGUGCCUCUCAGUCUAUUCCCGUGGAGGUGGACAUGCUCUAUGUUGGUGGAUUAAAACAUGACGGUAUAGAGCCAGAUAAAUUAUUUUGAGAAAGAUCCAAAAAUUCCAACCUAUUCAACUUUCAAAAUUCCAUUGGAAUAGAACCUUCAAAACCAUUGUUGGACAAAUUUAAUCUCCACAAAAAUGAUGCAUUCCCUAUCCAUCUUGGGAGCUUUCCAUGCAACUUGUUACUGAGAUCAAUUUCGCUUAGUGAAUUUGGAAACUCAAAAAGAAAUGUUCACACAAAGUUUUUUCCAACAUAUGUCUGUCAUUUGUGGGGUCUUGAAUUUAAUAUCAAUGGUUGAAUUUUCAUAGCUAAUAUGUACGCAAAAGGCUUAGUGGGUGGAAUUUUAUGUCUGGAAAGCGUUUCUACAAUGACAUAAUUAAUUGCAUUACUUUUCAAAGAUUGACUAUUGACUUUGGUGAGCUUAUUAGGUUAAAUUCUGCUGCUGGUCACUGUUCUUUGUAAAAGUUGUAAAUUUAGUCUAUUUUCUUCAAUUUGAUCAAUUUUAAUCCCUAUACAUUUUGAAUUUUAAAAUUUUAGUUGUGACCCAAACAAUAGAGUUAAAUCAAUUUAAUUAAAACCAAUUACUAGUCCUAUAUUAUGCGUACAAUUGUUGAUUUAGUCCAUACUCUUCAAUUGGAUCAUUCUAAGUACCUAUAUUUUUCAAAUUUUAAAAUUUCAGUCUUGAUGCAAAUGACAAUCCUUAGUCUGUUAACUAGAUUUUUAGUAACAUAUGAAAAUAAUAAGAUGAUAUGACAUUACAAAUAUGAUAAUAUUUUUGCAUUAAAUAUGUCAACAAUGACAUAAUUAAUUGCAUUAACUUUCAGACGUUGACCAUUGACUUUUGCGUCAACCUUAAGCUUAUAUAGCCCCUACAAUAAUUUAUAGCCCCUACAAUAAUUUAGGUUAUGGAAAUAAUCUUACAAUUAAUGCCUGAGAAAUUAUUAUAGAUCAAUUUAUAGUUUUAAUCCCUAUAAUUACUCAAUUGAAUUAAGAUUCAGUUUUUCUUAUUUAAUUUGAUAUAUUUUGUUUUCUUAUUAAUGUUAAUGUUAUGGAUUAGUUUUUUUUAAGACAACUUCAUUAUUUUAUUCAAUGAAUAAUACCAUACAAUUCGGGGGAAAAUAACAAGCAAUCGUUGUACUCCUUAAAGGACAAGCUCCAUAAAUACAACAAAAGCUUUAGCUUCAACAUUAAUACAACAUUAUGGCAUGUUGAAAUCGGCUCCGUCACAACUCAAGCACAACAUAUCAGGAGUGAUUACAAGCACUUAAUAUAGUAAGAAAAUCAACCCUGGAUGGUCCAAAGCGGAGGGCAUAAAUCGGCAAAAGAACUGAGCAUCCACCAAACUAGAGGGGAUGUGGCGACAAAACCAACCCUAAAAUUACUAGCAAAAGCAAGACUAAAAAGCGUACUACAAGAGUAGACAAAAACUUCUAAAAGUUAAACAAUGGAAAAAUAAACAAAAAAAAUACAAAACUUAAGAUAACAUGAGUCUAAAACGAGUCAUGAAAUCAUUUAUUAUUUUGAAACUCUCAAAACAUAAACAAAUUAAGAUAUCAACGAAGAGGUACCCACUUUCUAAAAGAAAGUGUUGGUCGUCGGUGGUGUUUCAAUGAUGAUAGGCAUUGUCACCUGUCCAUCACAACUUGUAAAGACAACAAAAAUACCCACAAAAUAAAUCUGUAAAUUGAAAAGAACGAAGACUCAUGGAGUGAAUGAGAAGAAGAAAAAUAAAAAGGGUUAAUAGGGAGGAGAAAAAGGAGGGCGGUAACUAAUCCUGAGGCUAACACCGCUGGUAGGCUAAAAAAAAAAAAAAAGCAAACAUGUUGUGGAUUAGUUAAAAUAACUAACAUCAUUGGAAAUUUCAUUAGUUGGCUGAUUUGGAUUUUUUAAAAAAAAAAUUGAAACUAGAAACCAUAAAUGAUCUAACAUUUAGAAACCAUAAAUUGGGUUUUUUUUCAAUUGCUUUGCUGUCCAACUCCAUCCAUCUAAAAUCGCAAGGAUGUACCCAUGUUCAAUAUGCAGUACAGAGUACAGACCCAAAAAUUGACCAUAUAAUGUGGCUGAAGAGAAUUUUCGAAUGGUUUUAAAGAAUUAUGAGAACACAAUGAAUAAAGUUAAGGCAUCAUUUAUUCAGCUUGCUAUAAUGCAGGUCAUUCCAAUAAAGAAGCAUUUUUUAACUACAUUUUCCGUUACCCCAAUAACAAUGAAAUCCCUUAUUAUAGCACAGUAUGUUCUCCGAUGAACAUAGAACUCACCAUUUUUAGGAACACGUGUAGUUGAGGAUGAGAAUUCGGAUCAACUGUAACUUCAAAUAGUGGAAUGAAAACAUUGUCCAGAAUAUUCUGAAAAGAUUUUACAAUUCCCAUUUGCUUGUACACAUUAUACAAUCGUGGUGACUGCAGAAUUAAGUCAAAAUCAAGUGAAGAAGGUUACCUUUGACUUGAGAAAUAUAUCACAGAGAGAGAGAGAGAGAGAGAAAACAGUAAUCUGGAAAGAUGAUGCUUAAUAUGGACAUGAUACCCUAAAAACCGAUCUUAAAUUUUAAUUUCUAAAAUGUUAUUAGCUUGUGCAUACUUUCAAAUACUUUUCAUUAGAGUUACCAUAGACUAAUUUUUCCAAUUUUAGAUGAUUCAAGAAACUACUUGGGGGCAAUUCUUAAAUAAACAUGUCCGAACAGUAGUCAUUAACAAGAAAGCAUCCAAGAAAACCAGCAGUUAAUACUUAAAUAAACAUUAUCAAAUGGAGAUGUAAAGAAGAAAGAAUCCUACUGCAAAGCUAGAUAGCAGGAGAAUCACUAGAAUGAAGAGAAAUACUAUUGGCACUAUACCUGGAUUAACCAAACAGUAGUCUCACUAUAAAUUUCAUUGUUAAUAAACCAACUUGCCAACUGGUCCCAUUCACUUUGUUUCCUUCCGUAUAUGGACACCCUGUACUCUGCCAUCUUGAAAAUAUAUAUAUUAUUCAGUGUAGUCAGAGGCGCAAGGAGCACUCUAGGUGCUAGAAUCCUUUUAUUAUAUAAGGCACAUGGCGCACAAAAAAAAAAAAAAAAAACACUUGCUUGUGUUAAGGCACAUGUAUGCGUGUUUUGGUAUGUCCAUGUCUGUAUAUAUAUAAGCCGAAGAUAUAUAAUUAUAAUAAUAAACUAUAAAAGUGCUCCAGUUUGAAGUACAGAACAUGCCAAAUUUUCUUUCUUUUGUCAACCAUAUGCAUAUUUCCAUAUGAUCCCAUGCCUGGUGUUGAAUACUCAAAUAUUGAGAAGUAGAGAGUUCGAUAUUAUCCCUUUGUUACAAUUAAGAAACAAUUAAAGAGAUAGUAAAGAGAACUUCAAUUAGAAGGCCUUUUCCCCCUACAUGCACCAGGCAGGCGCUUAGCCUGAAAAGGUCAAAGGCCCUUUUACUGUCUGGUGAAAAGGCAAAAAACAUUGGACAAAGUUGGUGGGAGGAUGGAAUACUAAAAAGAGCCCAAUGUUGUCACUUUUCUAAAGUAAGCUCAUAUGCUUUUUUUGUACCCAAACAAUAUCUCACCCUUUAAUUUGUACCUAAAGAAAUUAUUUCUAAUAGAAAGUUUACUUUUGUUAUGAUCAAUGCUGGAGGCCAAAACUGAUUUGGGCUAAGGAAUUGGUGGUGAGAGUUGGGAGGCAAGAAGAAAGAAAGUCCUUGAGUGUUAUAUUUUUCAAAAAAUACAAAUUGUUCAUUUUUUUACCACAUCAUCAUGCCAGGUCAGCUUCCAUGUGGAUAAAGAAAAUUUUGGCGGCAUUGAAACAGAGGCUCACUUAGGAAAAAGAAGGAUACUUCAUGGGCUUUUAGUAAUUUAGCCCUUGGAAGGAAUAUGACCAUCCAAAAAAAGGCAGUUGAUGCUUUAAGGUCAAUUAGCCGAAACAAUAACAACAAUUCCUAGGCUUCAAUAAAAUAAUUUAGACAACAAAUAAAGCUUUAAGGUUGAGUUUUGCACUGCAGCAGCAUUGGGUUUUACAAGGUGAAAACCCACAUUGCAAAAAAAAUAUCAAAGUUUCAGAUCAAUCAUAAUUUAAAAUUCUAACUAAACCAAACGCCAAUGCUGAAUGCCUAAACAAAAAACAUAAGAUUAACCCAAGGACCUAAUUGGGUAUGCUAAAAUUUGUCUUGGAAUGAAAUUAAUAAUAUCCUUACUAUUUCACUUUUUUUCUCUUCAUAUGUUUGGUGUGAGCAUGAUACAGAUUAGACUGAUUUUAAAGUAAAAGUAAAACGAUACCAAACCUAAACAUUCUGGUUUUUUUUAAUUUUUUAUCAGAGCCCUGUUUGAUGCAUUUUUAGUUUUGUUUUCUAAUAACAAAUGGAAAGUUAAUUAAAAAAAAAAAACUCUAAUCCAAUGAGUUCUUUUAUAGAUACAAGAUAAGUCCUGCAAAGUUUUUGUUUUUUAGAAAUAAAAUUUUAUUUUUGUUUUUUAAUUGAUCUUCAUACCUAUUUUAAUAUCUAAGUUCCGGAUUCCUAACUGCCCUAUCAAUAAUAUAGUAUUCAAGAUUUGAACUUAUAUUUUUCUUUAAAAAUAUAAUGUAUUUUAUUAUUGUAUUCUACAUUCAUUAAUACUUAGUAGAAAUAACCUAAUAAAUUGAAUUUUUUUCAUAUAUUAAUAGAGAUAAGUUCGUGCAAAAUUGUUGGUUGAAAAUUCAUGAAUGUACCAUCAUCAUAAGUGAGCUCAAUGAUGCUCUGUCAUCUCAAUAUGAAGCCUCCUAUCAAUCACCAGUCUGCAGAAAACAUUUGAAAUCGAAACACCCCGGACAUCUCCGACAAAUCUGCCAUAACAUUAGCAUCUCUUCCAUUUUUCUAAACACAACCUCACGAAUGGAAAUCUUAAGCUCAUCAACGCUCGCAUAAAUGUACCAAUAUUUCCACGGCCUAGAUUUCUCAUUGAUACACCAAGAAAGCUUGACUAUGGAGUCGGAUUCAACCAUAAGCUUUCAGUCUAUAAUCCACUAGGAAUCCAAAAAAAUUUUAAAUGUUAUAUUAUUAUAUAAAAAAUUGAAACAUGACUUCCGUAGGUUUUAAAUCUAAUGUUGACACUAAUCUUGAAUAAGUCAUUCCCCUCCCAUCUUAACUAAUUGCCAAAGAGCUAUCAAAAGUGGGAGAUGGCCAUAAAAUUGUGUAGUUUGGGUUAUAAAAUUUUUGUUUAGUUAUUUUGAUCACUCCAGUUAAAAUAAAAAAUUGUAAACUGACGCAACAGUUAAAAAAAUGUAUAAUAACAAAUUUAACCCUCAAAUUUUAUAUAUUAUAUCAAUUACAUAUUACAACUACAUAUUUUAUAAUUAUUGAUAUCGAAUAUGUCCCUCACUACGCUGGGGAUUUUUAUUUUAUUUUUUUAUAAUUUGUUUUUAAUUAAUAUUUAAAAUUAAUUUCAAAAUAUUUGAAAAUUUUAUAAUUAUUUGGUGUUAGUCCCUUCAUUAUACUCAAAUUUAAGAUUAAGCCCCUAUACUUUAAUUUUGACAUAAUUUGGUUCUUUCACUUUUAUAAUCUCAUUAAUUAUUUCAAGUAACUAACACUUUUAACAAUGCCAAAUAAAAUAAUGUCAUAUUUUUUUCUUAAAGCCAUCACUUCUAACUAAAUAAUGACUUAAUCACUUUCUAAUUAAUCAUACUAACGUAGAAUUUUUUUUUUUCGUUGGAAUGAGUAUGUUUAAAGAAAACCCACCUCAACAUUUGUAGAUGUCUUCAACAAUUUCCUAAGCACGAUACAAUAAAGCUUGGUGAUCGUAUAAUUUUGUUUUAUGGAAGCUCCAAAUUAUGUUGAUUCUUGAAUGAUACGGUCUGCAUGGGUUUGUUUUGGGUGCUAUUAGUGUACUAGCACAGUUUGUAGUGGAUAAAUAUGGGAGAUUAGUAGAAAAUUCUGAUUAUGUUUUACAUGUGCAACAAGAUAAGCUAUUGGCUUCUUGGUUACUUUCAACUGUUAGUGAUGAAAUUCUAGCCUAUCUUACUAGUGCUCGUACUAGUUAUUAUAUGUGGGAAAUUACUGGUGCCUGCACCUACAUUACUUACUAGGUUGGGCGGUAUAGUGCAAAGGAAAUAGAUUUCUGGUGUCUGCACCUAAAUUACUUACUAGGUUGGGCGGUAUAGGUUGUGAAAUUGAUAAAGCCAAUAAUUUCAGUUUGAAAUAUAAUGAUUUCUGUUGGGUUGCUCAAAUGCUUUAGCAAGAACACGAGACAGAAAAAUUGUCAAUUAAGCUUUACUAGGAUGAAGGGCGACGAUAAUUGUGUUGGUGAACGGAACUUUUCCCUUACAAAAUCUUAAAUAUUCAAUCUGCGUAUUCUUUUUAGUCCCAAAAAUAACAAUGUCAAUUCGCAUCAGUUCCCUUAUGCUUCAUUUAGUUUCAUUUUUCUCUUCUACUGUAAGAAUAAGUGCAUUUUUUUUCCUUCUUAUGUCCUUAUUUUUGGAAAUUGAGAUUUUCGAUCUCUUUUCUACCGUCUCAAAAAGUUGACAUGGCAGUCACUGUUUAUUUGGCUGGAUGCCCGGGCUUUAAUGGGCUAAAGCCAAAGCUUAUUUCAAGAUUUGUUGCUGUUUGUACCUGAUGGAUUUAUUGUUUCAAUUCAUUUCUUUUUACUUUUCAGAUUUUUUUUUCCACUUUUCUGUUUUAUAGGGCUCUUAAACUGUUUCAUGUUGUCCAUUUAAAGGCGUUUAAGAAUUGCAUUUACAUUCUUCUAUGUUUAUUUUACUUUUACUAGAUAUUGCACGUUGAAUUGUUAAAGCCAUAUGACACUUCAAGGGGACCUGGUUAGUGGUAAUUUAGUUUUGUCUUCUGUGACCUAAUUAAUUGGCCCACUGAUUAAUGGGCGGGAACAUGCUGUGCAGGUAAAAAAUGAGUCUUUGAAUAAACUGAACGAGCUUGAGGAAAUGCGUGAGAGACUAGAGGCAAGGAAAGUAGUUAUGGCAAACAUGUCAACUCGUUGCAAAGUUGCAACAGAGGAUGCUAAAAAACAGGAGGAAAUGCUUAGUACUGAAGUAAGAUCAUUGUUGGUUGCUGGUACCUCUCUUUCUGUAGCAAGGAAGCGAUUACAGGUGAAGCUUUUAUAUUCUAGCUUAAAUUAGCUUUGGAAUUUCAUUUUGAUAUUAUCAUGAAUGCUGAAUUUAUGAUAUAUUUGAAGGUUUCUUCUUAUUCAGCUUUAGAUGUUAUUUAUUCUCCUCUUGGAUCAAUAAGACCUCUCUCUUUGCACCUCCACCCCCUGUGAAGGUGGUUGAGGGGCUUAGAUGAGAUGAUUCUCAUUCUAUGAAUUCCUUUGCAUAGUCAAGGGCUAUCCCCUUCUUGCUCUCCUACUUCUUUGUCUCUUUUUUUAGAUGGUUGGUAGUCUUGCAUGCAUGGCAUGAUUGAUUAUAUGUUGUUUUUAUCACAGGAAGCAAAUAGAUUACUCACUGAAGAAAGGGGUUGUGUUAACUUAAAAAUGUGCAAAAGAAGCUUCGAGCAAGGCAACAAUAUAUGAUAUCACAAGUUUCAUUACUGUAUCCUGUAAAGAUCUUGGUUGGACCUGCACAGAAGCAAGAACUUGAGUCCUACUCUAGCAGUAGUAGAUUAGGUAAUGUGCUAGUAGUUUUGGAUUGCUAAUGCUUUGCAAUAAAGCCAACAUAUGGUCAGUGUCGUCAAGGCAUGCGCCUAGGCAUGCCUACCCCUUAGUUUUAUACAACAAAACGCCUUGUACCCAUCCAGGUGAGGUCCAUUUGAUCAAGCGCAUGCCUGGUGCACCUAGGCACACUUUUUUUGUAAGGCAAUGGGCAUUAGAAAAAGCCUGCCUUGUUGAAUUUCUCAAUAAUUUAUUUUAUUUUUCACUGUUUUCAUUUGAUAUACCUUUACUAAUAAGAAAGGGAUAAUAUCAAACUCUAUAGUUCUCAAUAUUUGAGCAUUCACCUAUAAAAAAAUUGCAAGUUUUGUGGAUAAACCAGACCACACUUUAGAGUUUACUAUAUAUCUUAAACUUUUAUGUUAUAGACACACAGACUUGCAAAAACUCUCACAUAUACGUAUUGCGCUUUACUGCACUCUGGCUAGCGCUUCCUUUUGUGCCUUGCUCUCGAGGCAAUAUAAAGGUUAGCACCUAGAAUGCGCCUUGCGCCCUAGACAACACUGCAUAUGGUUUUAAUUAGCAGCCAGUCUCCUCGUUUUGAAAUCAAUAUGUCUUUCCUGUUUAGUUUGUAGUUUAUUUUUAUAUUCUUAAUUAACAUUUAUCCUCUCACUUAUAUCAUCGAGAACCCAUUGUGAUGCUUGUUAUAUUUCCUCCUACGUUUUCUUUUUUGUUCUUGAGAUUUUGGAUGUUCAAAAUGGUUUGAGGAAAACUUUACCAACAAUAGCAGCUUCUUUCUCUUGAACAAUUCCUUCUUGCAACACGGGGAAUAUCUAUAAAUGGCAUGCCUGGAUAUGCAUAUCCUUUGAUAUCAAAUAUGGUUGGUCCAAUAUGAUGUUUUACUAGGGGAGAAUAAAAUGAGUUAUUUUGGUCAACUGGACAAGUCUUUUAUGAUUCCUAAACAGCUUAAGGAGUACCAUUACCUAUCACUUGACUCUUCUUUUGGUUAUAAUGGUUGUAUUCAGUUAUUCCUCUUUUAGCAAUCUACUAUUCAAUUCUCCUCAUAUCAAAACAAUUUUUUUUUGCUCUUGAAUAUUAUGAACUUUUUACAUAUCUCUUACUUUCAUGAUUAUAUUUUUUUGAAUUUUGUUUUGACUUCCACAAAGAGGUGGUGUCUGGUGAUGUACUGAUACGAAGUUCCUUUGUUCCUGACUUCACUAGGGAAUCCUUCUGCAUCAAAGCCCGUCAAUCAAGGAUCGUUGACGAUUUUAGGUCUGAAUCUCACCUUGCUUCCUUUUACAAAGAUGAGUUUUUUCACUGACAAAAAGGAGGUUCAGAGAUCUGCAACUGCCUUGGGAUAUGUUGCACAUGUGCGUUCUAUUUCUUCUGUGAAGUUAUCAUUUAUUACUGAAUUUGUUUUUUCUGAUAAUAUCAAGCUGUGGAUAUCAAGUUUUUUGACCUACCACCUACAAUCCCUUGUUGCUUGAAGAUGCUGUAGUAAUUUUUAAAUGCUAGGAUGGUAAUAUGGUAUAGUGGGCUGCAUCUUGAUUGUUUAUUUCUCAUGCUGAGGCUAGAAUUUUAAUCAUACCUAUUAUUGUUUCUUGUUUCCUGCCAUUUCAUCAUUUGCAGGCUGUUUCACUAAUUGCAUCCCAUUUACAAGUUCCCUUGCGUUAUCCUCUGCGCUUGGGUUCAAGACACGACAAGAGCAGCAUAUGCUGUGUUCUUGUUAAACAAGGCAAGGUUUUGCAUAGUAGUAAUUCUUUUUCCAAGAUGAAUUAUUCUCCUUUGGCAUUUUUAUGUAUAUUAUUGGAUUCAAAUGGUCUGCAAAGUUAGCUUGUCAAUGCUCUUCAAUCCACAGGUUGGAAAAACAGUGCAUGUUUGUUCGACAGCAUUUACAGCUCAUUUUAUGUCAUUGAUAGUGGAUAAUCUUGCUUCCAUCAUCAUUAAUAUCAUGGUUGAAUUGUUUGGAAGAUAUUGGAUUUACAAUAUCCAGGUUCUUGUGAUAGACACUUGAGACUAUCUAUAAACUUCACCGGUAGAUUAGGUGAAGGAUUAUCAACAAAUUUGAAAAGUGUGUGAAUUCCCACCAUGCAUCUAAAAGGAGGUCCAGCACUCGAAUCUCAUUCCCCAUAACUAAAAACUAUGUCACUGUGACUUGGUCAUAUCUCCAUAUCCAUGUUCGAAUUCGGACAUGGGUAGUUAAAGAAAAAUGAAGAGUUGAUGCAUGAUAGACUAGUUCAAAAGUGCUUUUAGAAAAAAGUGCUGUUGAAAUGUGGUGCGGAAAAGUGUGUUUGUUAAUUUUUAGUGUUGUUCAUUGCUGUCAAAAGACGCGGUUGAAAGGUAAAAUGUCUUUUUUAGACAUGAUAGUAGAAAGUAAAAAAUUAGUCAAAUUAUAUGAUAUUUAAAUAAUUUAAUAUAAUGAUACAUGAAAUAUAACUUUUAAAUACCUUUUAAGUAAUUAAUAUAAAUUAUUUGUAAAAUUGAUUAUAUAUAAAAUAUUUUGAAAAAAAUUAAAUAUAAUAAUAAAUAAGAUUUAAACAAUUUAAUAUAAUAAAAUAUAAAAUAUAAAUUAAUCUAAUUUUUAUUUACCUUUUAAAUAGUUAAUGAAAAUAAGAGUAUUUUGACAAUUUUCACUUCCAAAUGACAAAAGCCAAAAGCAGUAGGUUUUUGACUACAAAAGCUAUGUGUUCUUCAUCACUUCUGGAGUGGAAAAACACUUCUGCAGUGUAAAAACACUUUUAAUAAUUCAAAAAGGCUUUUUCACCACAGUAGAGAAUGCACCAUAAAAUUGUAAAUAGAAAAAGGAAGGACCAAACAUUUUUUCUACCCUGUUUUUGUCUCCUCUUUGAAAAUACUUUCCAAAAAGUUUUAUCUUUUUUUUUUUUUCUGUUUACAAUGCCUUGAAUGCAAAUUCCUUAUAGAAGUGCUUUCUUUUGAUCCACUUGCAUCAUUGUAAGAAGUCUGCAUUGCCUUCUAACUUUCUUUGUUGAUUAUCUUUUAUUAAGUUUUCUGUUGGAUAUUAUAGUCAAAUUCCUUUACAUCAUGUAUGUUAAUUUGCUUAGCCCUGAUAAAUGUUAGUGUUGUGCGGAAGCGUGUAAAAGAGUAAAAUUAUUGUACUAAAAAAUCACACUAAGUUCAAUUCCCAGGAAAGAGAGGUGGAUCACAAAGAUCGCUUAAGUACCAGGUCUUUCCUAGCCAGAAUAUCCCUCAAUCGUAAUUUAAUAGCACAAUAAAUCACUACAAUCACACACACAAUUCAUGCAGAAUAAUACAAUAAAGAACACAAGAAUUUAACGAGGUUCAGCAAAUUUUGCCUACGUCCUCGGGCACUACCAAAUAUAUUUCACUCCAAAAUACAAGUGAGAAUUUACAAAGAGAGAGAGAGAAAACAAUGCCUUAAGUAGAGAAUGGCAAGUUUGAGAUACAGAAUGAGAGAUGGUCAUGCUUAUUUAUAAUUGAGGUUCAGGGAUCAACUUGCAAGGUCACUUUACAAUUAGGGACCAUAUAUUGCAAAUAUCUCAGAUUUUAUUAUGCCAAUAUCUCGAUACCCAUAUCUUUGACUUUCCAAUAUUUGAUACCCAUAUUUUUGACUUUCUAUUAUUUGAUACCCAUAUAUUUGAUUUUCCAUAAAUAUGGAUAAUUCCCAAUAAUCUCCACCUUAAAGAUUUGAUUCGAGUAAUCUUAUCUUCACACAAUUCUCUCUGCCUUUGUCAACAACACUUGAUAGUGCCUUCUUCAACUGUUAAACAUGCAGAAUAUUGAUCAAGUUCAAACAAUGUUCGAACUUGAUUGUUGUUACCACCUUGGUCAUCAUAUCUGCGGGAUUAUCUGCAGUCUUAAUCUUCUGAAGGUGAAUUUUCCCCUCAUCAAUAAUUUUCCGCACAAAAUGGAAACGUACGUCGAUAUGCUUUGAACGUGCAUGAUAGACUUGAUUCUUUGCUAAAUGAAUAGCACUUUGACUAUCACAAUACACAUUAAUAUGCUCCUGAACCAAUCCCAAGGUUUUAACCAUACCUUGUAACCAAAUAGCUUCCUUUACAGCCUCUGUUACAGCCAUGUAUUCAGCUUCUGUGGUUGACAACGCAACUGUAGACUGCAGUGUAGACUUCCAACUUAUUGGUCCUCCAGCAAGAGUAAACACAUAACCAGUGGUUGAUCUUCGUUUGUCCAAAUCACCGGCAUAAUCAGAAUCAACGUACCCAACAACACAUUUACCAAGUAUAGUAUCCUGCUUGAACAAUAAUCCAAUAUCCAUGGUCUUAUGAAUAUACCGUAGAAUCCAUUUCACAGCUUGCCAAUGUCCUUUUCCAGGAUUAUGCAUAUACCUGCUCACUAUACUAACUGCCUGUGAAAUGUCGGGUCUUGUACACACCAUUGCAUACAUCAAGCUACCUACUUCAUUAGAAUACGGAACUUGUAACAUGUAUUCUUUUUCCGUAUUUGUCGAAGGAGAUAGUUGUGCAGAAAGCUUGAAAUGAGAAGCCAACGAAGUACUUACAGCUUUAGUCUGCUCGUUCAUGCCAAACUUCUGUAGUAUCUUCUUUAAAUAUUGCUUCUGAGACAAACUAACUCUGCCAUGAGCUCUAUCCCUACAUAUUUCCAUGCCAAGGAUCUUCUUAGCUUCACCUAGAUCUUUCAUCUCAAACUCAAGGUUGAGUUGAGUCUUCAAUCUCUCAAUGUCAACUUUACUCUUAAAUGCUAUCAACAUAUCAUCAACAUAUAAGAGCAAGUAUACGAAAAAUCCUUCUUGUAGCUUCUGAAAAUACACGCAAUGAUCAAAUNNNNNNNNNNNNNNNNNNNNNNNNNNNNNNNNNNNNNNNNNNNNNNNNNNNNNNNNNNNNNNNNNNNNNNNNNNNNNNNNNNNNNNNNNNNNNNNNNNNNNNNNNNNNNNNNNNNNNNNNNNNNNNNNNNNNNNNNNNNNNNNNNNNNNNNNNNNNNNNNNNNNNNNNNNNNNNNNNNNNNNNNNNNNNNNNNNNNNNNNNNNNNNNNNNNNNNNNNNNNNNNNNNNNNNNNNNNNNNNNNNNNNNNNNNNNNNNNNNNNNNNNNNNNNNNNNNNNNNNNNNNNNNNNNNNNNNNNNNNNNNNNNNNNNNNNNNNNNNNNNNNNNNNNNNNNNNNNNNNNNNNNNNNNNNNNNNNNNNNNNNNNNNNNNNNNNNNNNNNNNNNNNNNNNNNNNNNNNNNNNNNNNNNNNNNNNNNNNNNNNNNNNNNNNNNNNNNNNNNNNNNNNNNNNNNNNNNNNNNNNNNNNNNNNNNNNNNNNNNNNNNNNNNNNNNNNNNNNNNNNNNNNNNNNNNNNNNNNNNNNNNNNNNNNNNNNNNNNNNNNNNNNNNNNNNNNNNNNNNNNNNNNNNNNNNNNNNNNNNNNNNNNNNNNNNNNNNNNNNNNNNNNNNNNNNNNNNNNNNNNNNNNNNGAAUCAUGUUGCUGUAAAAGUUCUUGGGUCGAAACUUCUUCAUCAUUUGUUCCUUCAAUAUUAGCUGGAUCAUCAUUAACCUUUUCAAGCUCCACCUGUUGCAAAGUGCCAUUGGUUGUGUAUCCUUUUGUGAAUCAUUGUUCUUCAUCAUGGUUGAUUCAUCAAAAGUCACAUCUCUACUGAAAAUUAUUUUCCUUGUAUCAGGACACCAGAGACGGUAUCCUUUUACUCCACCAGUUAUACCCAUGAAUAAUGCUUUCUUUGCUCUUGGGUCUAACUUAGAUUCUUUUACAUGAUAAUAUGCAGUGGAACCAAAAUCAUGUAAAGAAUCAUAAUCAGUAGCAGGUUUACCAGCCCACCUCUCCAUAGGAGUUUUUCCAUUUAUUGCAGCUGAUGGCAACCGAUUAAUUAGAUGGCACGCAUAUGUAACUGCCUCAGCCCAAAAUUAUUUGCCCAAUCCAGCAUUGGACAACAUACAUCGAACUUUCUUCAGUAUAGUCCGAUUCAUACGUUCUGCCACCCCAUUCUGUUGUGGUGUAUCUCGAACAGUGAAGUGUCGUACAAUACCUUCAUCGUGACAUACAGAUCAUUCUUGUACUCAAUACCAUUGUCUGAUCGAAGUCGUUUGACUUUUCGACCAGUCUGGGUCUCCACCAUCUUCUUCCAUUUCAGAAAUACAUCCAAAACUUUAUUUUUCCUUUUCAUUAGAUACACCCAUACUUUUCUUGAAUAAUCAUCAACAAAAGUAACAAAAUAGUGCAUACCUCCCAAAGAAGCCACUUUAGUAGGUCCCCACACNNNNNNNNNNNNNNNNNNNNNNNNNNNNNNNNNNNNNNNNNNNNNNNNNNNNNNNNNNNNNNNNNNNNNNNNNNNNNNNNNNNNNNNNNNNNNNNNNNNNNNNNNNNNNNNNNNNNNNNNNNNNNNNNNNNNNNNNNNNNNNNNNNNUUGCAAAGCUUUUUCACCAGCAUGUCCCAAUCGCAUAUGCCAUAACCUGGUAGCCUCUGAAUCUGCAUCUUUCGUAGAAGCUGUUGAUGUUGAUCCAAUAACUAUACUUCCAUUUAAAUAAUACAGAUUAUUCCUUCUUGUGCCUUUCAUCACCGUCAAUACCCCAGCUACUACCUUUAGUAAUCCAUCUCUCAAAGUGAUUGUGAGCCCUUUAGAUUCUAGGACCCCUAAUGAGAUAAGAUUUUUCUUCAAGCUAGGUAUGUAGCGAACAUCUGUCAAGACUUGAAUUGAGCCGUCGUGAUUCUUCAAUUGGAUUGUACCUACUCCCAUUGUCUUACAAGCGCUAUCAUUGCCCAUAAAAACAACUCCACCUUCUAGUUCUUUAAGACUAGAAAACCAGUCCUUAUUAGGACACAUAUGGUAUGUACAUCCCGAAUCCAAAAUCCACUCAUCUGUAUGACAUGCCAUUGCCAUGCCAACCAAGCUAAAGUCUGACUCCUCAUCAUGCUCUGCUACACAUGCAUCAGAAAUAGCUUUACCCUUUUGUAACUUAGGACAAUUCUUUUUCCAAUGCCCUUUCUCACGACAAAAAGCACAUUCAUCUUUGGCAGGUCUCCCUUUGGACUUACUCCUUCUACCAGAUUUGUUGCUGCGCGAACGACCUCUUACUGUUAAGACUUCUGUAGUUGUAUCUCUGUGAUCUUUUUUAUCUUUCUUUCGAGUCUCAGAUCUAUACAACGCACUACAGACUGCAUCAAAUGUGAUUGUAUCCUUCCCAUGAAGCAAUGUGGUGGUAAGAUGAUCAUAUUCAUCAGGAAGAGAAUUCAACAACAGUAAUGCCUUGUCUUCAUCUUCAAAUUUCUCAUCCAAAUUUAGCAAGUCUGCUAAAAUUUUAUUGAAUGAGUUCACAUGGUCAUUCAUCGGCAUACCGGGUGCAUACGUGAAUCGAUAAAGUUUUUUUUCAUAUAAAGCCUAUUUUCAAGACUUUUUGUUAGAAACUUUUCUUCCAGUGUAUCCCACAACUUCUUCGCUGAUGUCUCCCUCAUGACAGAGUACUUCUGCUAUUUGGCCAAACAUAGGCGAAUUUUUCCACAUGCCUGUCUAUUGAUCUUGGCCCACUCCUUGUCAUCCAUCUUCUCAGGUUUUUCUUCAAGGGCUAUAUCCAGCUCUUGCUGACAUAAGACAUCCAGGAUCUCACAUUGCCACAUAUCAAAAUUAUUGGUACCAUCAAAUUUCUCUACUUCAAAUUUCGCAUUGGUCACAGUAGUCUUUAUUGAUGACGAUGCCUUUUCCAUUUUUUCUCCUCAAUCCCAACUACAGUACGUGAACAGUACUGUGAACGAUCGUAUUCCCCAAGUACGAAUGUAGCUCUGAUACCAAUUGUUGUGCGGAAGCGUGUAAAAGAGUAAAAUUAUUGUACUAAAAAAUCACACUAAGUUCAAUUCCCAGGAAAAAGAGGUGGAUCACAAGGAUCGCUUAAGUACCAGGUCUUUCCUAGCCAGAAUAUCCCUCAAUCAUAAUUUAAUAGCACAAUAAAUCACUACAAUCACACACACAAUUCAUGCAGAAUAAUACAAUAAAGAACACAAGAAUUUAACGAGGUUCAGCAAAUUUUGCCUACGUCCUCAGGCACUACCAAAUAUAUUUCACUCCAAAAUACAAGUGAGAAUUUACAAAGAGAGAGAGAAAACAAUGCCUUAAGUAGAGAAUGGCAAGUUUGAGAUACAGAAUGAGAGAUGGUCAUGAUUAUUUAUAGUUGAGGUUCAGGGAUCAACUUGCAAAGUCACUUUACAAUUAGGGACCAUAUAUUGCAAAUAUCUCAGAUUUUAUUAUGCCAAUAUCUCGAUAUCCAUAUCUUUGACUUUCUAAUAUUUGAUACCCAUAUCUUUGACUUUCCAAUAUUUGAUACCCAUAUCUUUGACUUUCUAUUAUUUGAUACCCAUAUCUUUGAUUUUCCAUAAAUAUGGAUAAUUCCCAAUAGUUAGAUAUAGGGUUGUCAGCUAAUUAGGAAAGACUGUGAUGAUAGUCACACCUUACAUCCAAACGCAAAGCUUUUUACAUGUGUAUGUAAGGUUGCUAAGCAAAUCUGAUGAGCCUUCACUGAUGUUUUAAGGUUAAGUUAAUGUUCCUUUUCUGCAAAGAACAUUAUCGAGAUCACAGUAUUUUGAUCGCCUUUUGCUUGUUAUGUUAUUCGUUCUGAAACGAUUGUCUAAUCUUUACCGCGAUUGCAGGAUAUAGAGUAAUUUUUGAAUUUCAUCGGUGUAAAGAGUUUAGGACCUCGACAAGUUCUUGCAAAUUUGAAGGAGCUUCUAAGGUCUGUCCAGUCUUCAGAAUAUAUAGAUACCUGAAUUAAUUUUGAUUUUGUAGGAUCAACUAUAAUUUUGACCUUCUUCACACACGGCACGUGCGGAUUUUUUACCAAUCCCAUUUCAUUAAAGAAAAAAAAGAGCUUUAAAAAAGGAUCACACUUUUUUGUUGUUUACAGAAUCAUAAUGUUAAUUAGAGUGGAAUAUUUCAAAUUUCUGAUGAUGAGAAUAUUCUUGAGUAUUGCAGUAAAAAAUUGGGUGUGGAACUUAUUUGAAACUUUGAAUGUAUGUUUUGUUGGUGAGAAUAUAAAGUUGAUAAAGAUUUGGUAAAAAGAAUAAAAUACUAUUUUUUAUUACAAAAUUAUUUGAUACCCUGCCAAUCGAGUUAUAAUUAUCAUGACACAAUAUUAAAGGUAAUUAAAACAUGUCAUAUUACAAAUAAUAAAAUUAUAACGACUCAAAUAUACGAACAUGCCAAAAUUUAUGUACAACGAAUUAUUAACAUGUAAAUGUAUAAUACGGUACAAAAAAUAAGAUAAUUUCUUUUUUUUGUAAUUGAAUUGUUAUAACACAUUAUACAAAAUACAUUGUGAAUUAAAGCAUAAUAUGAACAUGAUAUCAAUAUAUCAAAUUUUUUAAAAAUUCGAUCAUACGAAUAAUUAUGUAAAAUAUAACAUGAUACAAAAUGACUUGAGAGGAAAAGAGGAAUGUAGACUUGCAUUGUUUGUGAGGUUUUAAAAUAUUCCAGUUUUAGAUUCAAUUUUCUAGUAUUUUUGGUUUAAUUUUACAUUAGAUUUUCUUUUCAGUAUGCACUAGUAAACGCUUGGUAGUCACUUUAAUUUAAUUUAAAGAGAUAUUGCAUAUACAUAAUAAAUUUCAUAGAAGAAAAAAGAAAUAGAUGGUUGAAAAUGAUAAAAUCGUAAGAUAAAAGAGCUUUUAUUCAAAAUGCAAAAAUGAACAAAAUAUUCAUUAUCGCUCAACUUAGCAUAAUUAAACAUUUAGGUGUGGAAAUCAAAUCACAAUUUGAGUAGCUAAACAUAUCGCUUGAAAAUGUGAUAAGUAAGAAACUUGCCCACAUUUGAGUAGCGACAGGUGGUGAUGCAUUUCCCAACGAGAGAAAACCAAGCUCUUCGCCAGUAUGGAUUUAUGUAGAGGACAACAAAAAUUGUCAACAAAGCAACUACAAAAGAAACCAAAA